GACGAACGCUGGCGGCGUGCUUAACACAUGCAAGUCGAACGGAAAGGCCCUGCUUUUGUGGGGUGCUCGAGUGGCGAACGGGUGAGUAACACGUGAGUAACCUGCCCUUGACUUUGGGAUAACUUCAGGAAGCUGGGGCUAAUACCGGAUAGGAGCUCCUGCUGCAUGGUGGGGUUGGAAAGUUUCGGCGGUUGGGGAUGGACUCGCGGCUUAUCAGCUUGUUGGUGGGGUAGUGGCUUACCAAGGCUUUGACGGGUAGCCGGCCUGAGAGGGUGACCGGCCACAUUGGGACUGAGAUACGGCCCAGACUCCUACGGGAGGCAGCAGUGGGGAAUAUUGCACAAUGGGCGGAAGCCUGAUGCAGCAACGCCGCGUGCGGGAUGACGGCCUUCGGGCUGUAAACCGCUUUCGCCUGUGACGAAGCGUGAGUGACGGUAAUGGGUAAAGAAGCACCGGCUAACUACGUG
Molecule: ribosomal RNA, 467 nt
Filed under: uncultured bacterium
Lineage: Bacteria
Description: partial 16S ribosomal RNA
Rfam family: Bacterial small subunit ribosomal RNA
Source: RNAcentral